CAGUCGCCGCGGGAAUACGUAGGUGGCAAGCGUUAUCCGGAAUUAUUGGGCGUAAAGCGCGCGUAGGCGGUUUUUUAAGUCUGAUGUGAAAGCCCACGGCUCAACCGUGGAGGGUCAUUGGAAACUGGAAAACUUGAGUGCAGAAGAGGAAAGUGGAAUUCCAUGUGUAGCGGUGAAAUGCGCAGAGAUAUGGAGGAACACCAGUGGCGAAGGCGACUUUCUGGUCUGUAACUGACGCUGAUGUGCGAAAGCGUGGGGAUCAAACAGGAUUAGAUACCCCGGUAGUCCCUGUCUCUUAUAC
This 301-nucleotide ribosomal RNA is filed under the name uncultured bacterium. Its description in RNAcentral is "partial 16S ribosomal RNA". It matches the Rfam family "Bacterial small subunit ribosomal RNA", at positions 509 to 807 of the family's 1533-position model. The record is from RNAcentral.